Molecule: long non-coding RNA, 1118 nt
Organism: Branchiostoma floridae (Florida lancelet)
Lineage: Eukaryota; Metazoa; Chordata; Leptocardii; Amphioxiformes; Branchiostomatidae
Exons: 5
Source: RefSeq, a predicted model, not a curated record
UCUGGUGACUGAUCCCCCGCUGUUUUCUCCUUCUCUCUCGCCGCCAGCCCAAAUUGUUCGGUACCGUCAUUACAUUGCGGUACCUGGGCACUUCAUCACCUGCCAGAAGUGCCCCCUGGGUGCACAUGUCCGGUCAACACAGGCGCGAUGAGGUGUGGUCGCGCGUGUGUACUUUGAAAACAAAGAGAGACGGAAAACAAGGCCGGGCUGCCAUGACUACCCCGAACAUGGCGACUACUACGGGUGGAAAGAAGAAAUCGGCAACGGUGUCCGUACGUAUAGACUACAAUAUGGCAUGAGGUUUCCCGGGACGCUUCCGGGACCUGGCCCGACAACUCCGCCAGGCCAUCCCGGGAGCGGAGGUGGUGGGCAAGAUCAUCAGCAAGCCAGGUGCCUUCGAGGUGUACGUGAACAAGAAGCUGUACUACUCCAUGCUGGAGAAGAGGCAGUUUCCUCAUAUCAACCAGCUUGUCCGUGCGAUCAAGAAGCACCUGUCUGAAGCUCAGUCUCCCGCCGCGGACCUCAGUAGUUCCGAAGCCCUUCCUUCUGUGACUACCAAGCAGCUCUCUCCAGCUUAGACUUGGAGCAAUGGUCAAACGCAAACGUAACCCACAUACCACAUAAUAUUGAAUGAAUGGAGACACAAUCAAGAGGCAAAGGUUUAAAUUGAUGAGGCACUUGGGGAAAAUGGUGUAAAGCCCUUCUAUGACAGCAUGGUCUGAAGGAGACGACUGUCUCAAGAUCAAGCUCGAUAAAUAUGGGCGAAUACAAUAUUCUUGCCUUCGACUGUUCUUCAUCAAUUUAUGUAACAUAACCAGAUUGUUUUAUCAAAUGUAAUUUGCUUUGGACUUAUGUACAUGUAGUAUUUAGAUAUGCAUCCUACAUCUGUAAUUAGUGUAAAGACAAGCUACUCACCAAGCAGGUACUCACCAGGUUGUUGUCACAUGAUACAUAUGCUGCGUUUUUAAAAAACGCCAAAUUUGAUAAAGGUCACAAUUUUCCCACAACAGCCUCUGCUUGGAGAGUAAAGAUAAGUAAGACUGAAGCAUUCAGACCUCCUUGAUAUGCCGUAUUAGAAUCUCUGCAAGAAAUUGCUGGCUCUAGGGGUGGGUACCGGU